This 693-nucleotide ribosomal RNA is filed under the name uncultured soil bacterium. Its description in RNAcentral is "bacterial SSU rRNA". It matches the Rfam family "Bacterial small subunit ribosomal RNA", at positions 49 to 719 of the family's 1533-position model. The record is from RNAcentral.
UAACACAUGCAAGUCGAACGGAUUUGAGGGGCUUGCUCCUCAAGUUAGUGGCGCACGGGUGAGUAACGCGUAGAUAAUCUGCCUGAUGAUUCGGGAUAACACUUCGAAAGGGGUGCUAAUACCGGAUAAGCCCACGGGAUCUUUGGAUUUUGCGGGAAAAGGGGGGGACCUUCGGGCCUUCUGUCAUCAGAUGAGUCUGCGUACCAUUAGCUAGUUGGUAGGGUAAUGGCCUACCAAGGCUACGAUGGUUAGCUGGUUUGAGAGAAUGAUCAGCCACACUGGAACUGAGACACGGUCCAGACUCCUACGGGAGGCAGCAGUGGGGAAUUUUGCGCAAUGGGCGAAAGCCUGACGCAGCAACGCCGCGUGAGUGAUGAAGGCUUUCGGGUCGUAAAGCUCUGUCGAGGGGAAAGAAGUGUAAGGAGGCCAAUACCCUCUUUACUUGACGGUACCCCUAAAGGAAGCACCGGCUAACUCCGUGCCAGCAGCCGCGGUAAUACGGGGGGUGCAAGCGUUGUUCGGAAUUAUUGGGCGUAAAGAGCGUGUAGGCGGUUUGUUAAGUCUGAUGUGAAAGCCCUGGGCUCAACCCAGGAAGUGCAUUGGAAACUGGCAGACUUGAAUACGGGAGAGGGCAGUGGAAUUCCUAGUGUAGGAGUGAAAUCCGUAGAUAUUAGGAGGAACACCGGUGGCGAA